Molecule: ribosomal RNA, 1167 nt
Filed under: uncultured bacterium
Lineage: Bacteria
Description: bacterial SSU rRNA
Rfam family: Bacterial small subunit ribosomal RNA
Source: RNAcentral
GUUUGAUCCUGGCUCAGAUUGAACGCUGGCGGCAUGCCUUACACAUGCAAGUCGAACGGUAACAGGUUAAGCUGACGAGUGGCGAACGGGUGAGUAAUGUAUCGGAACGUGCCCAGUCGUGGGGGAUAACUGCUCGAAAGAGCAGCUAAUACCGCAUACGACCUGAGGGUGAAAGCGGGGGAUCGCAAGACCUCGCGCGAUUGGAGCGGCCGAUAUCAGAUUAGGUAGUUGGUGAGGUAAAGGCUCACCAAGCCGACGAUCUGUAGCUGGUCUGAGAGGACGACCAGCCACACUGGGACUGAGACACGGCCCAGACUCCUACGGGAGGCAGCAGUGGGGAAUUUUGGACAAUGGGCGCAAGCCUGAUCCAGCCAUGCCGCGUGCGGGAAGAAGGCCUUCGGGUUGUAAACCGCUUUUGUCAGGGAAGAAAAGGUUCUGGCUAAUACCUGGGACUCAUGACGGUACCUGAAGAAUAAGCACCGGCUAACUACGUGCCAGCAGCCGCGGUAAUACGUAGGGUGCAAGCGUUAAUCGGAAUUACUGGGCGUAAAGCGUGCGCAGGCGGUUAUGCAAGACAGAGGUGAAAUCCCCGGGCUCAACCUGGGAACUGCCUUUGUGACUGCAUGGCUAGAGUACGGUAGAGGGGGAUGGAAUUCCGCGUGUAGCAGUGAAAUGCGUAGAUAUGCGGAGGAACACCGAUGGCGAAGGCAAUCCCCUGGACCUGUACUGACGCUCAUGCACGAAAGCGUGGGGAGCAAACAGGAUUAGAUACCCUGGUAGUCCACGCCCUAAACGAUGUCAACUGGUUGUUGGGGAGGGUUUCUUCUCAGUAACGUAGCUAACGCGUGAAGUUGACCGCCUGGGGAGUACGGCCGCAAGGUUGAAACUCAAGGAAUUGACGGGGACCCGCACAGCGGUGGGAUGAUGGGGUUUAAUUCGAUGCAACGCGAAAACCUUACCUACCCUUGACAUGUCUGGAAUCCUGAGAGAUUUGGGAGUGCUCGAAAGAGAGCCAGACACAGUGCUGCAUGUCGUCGUCAGCUCGUGUCGUGAGAUGUGGGUAGUCCGCACGAGCGCACCCUGUCAUAGUGCUACGAAGGCACUCUAUGAACUGCGGUGACAACCCGAAGAAGGUGGGAUGACGUCAGGUCAUUCAUGGUCUUAUUU